This 359-nucleotide ribosomal RNA is filed under the name uncultured bacterium. Its description in RNAcentral is "partial 16S ribosomal RNA". It matches the Rfam family "Bacterial small subunit ribosomal RNA", at positions 338 to 694 of the family's 1533-position model. The record is from RNAcentral.
CCUACGGGAGGCAGCAGUGAGGAAUAUUGGUCAAUGGACGAGAGUCUGAACCAGCCAAGUAGCGUGAAGGAUGACUGCCCUAUGGGUUGUAAACUUCUUUUAUAAAGGAAUAAAACGAGGCACGUGUGCCUUUUUGCCUGUACUUUAUGAAUAAGGAUCGGCUAACUCCGUGCCAGCAGCCGCGGUAAUACGGAGGAUCCGGGCGUUAUCCGGCGUUAUUGGGUUAAAAGGGAGCGUAGAGGGGUUGUUAAGUCGGUGGUGAACGUUUGCGGCUCAACCGUAAAAUUGCAAUUGAUACUGGCAGUCGUGAGGACAGUUGAGGUAGGCGGAAUUCGGGGUGUAGCGGUGAAAUGCUUAGA